GUCCUAGCAGUAAACGUUGUUCACUUGGUGUUGGAGGAUUCGACCCCUUCAGUGCCGUAGCUAACGCGAUAAGUGAACCGCCUGGGAAGUACGGUCGCAAGACUAAAACUCAAAGAAAUUGACGGGGACCCGCACAAGCGGUGGAGUAUGUGGCUUAAUUCGAUGCAACGCGAAGAACCUUACCCAGGCUUGACAUGCAGAGUUCAAAUAUGGAAACAUAUUGGAUCGCAAGAUCGAUCUGCACAGGUGCUGCAUGGCUGUCGU
This 264-nucleotide ribosomal RNA is filed under the name uncultured bacterium. RNAcentral describes it as "partial 16S ribosomal RNA". It matches the Rfam family "Bacterial small subunit ribosomal RNA", at positions 793 to 1055 of the family's 1533-position model. The record is from RNAcentral.